This 387-nucleotide long non-coding RNA is filed under the name Papio anubis (olive baboon). RNAcentral's name for it is "lncRNA (ENSPANG00000037503.1)". Lineage: Eukaryota; Metazoa; Chordata; Mammalia; Primates; Cercopithecidae. The record is from RNAcentral.
GCAAUUUCAUGCUUCUAGACACGAUGUCGGCAUUCCAGGACAGCAGCAGAAAGUGUAGAAAAAUAAAAAAGUCCUACCUCCCUAAUGAGUCAACUGCACUUAAGGAGCCAUCCCAGAAGUUUCACACAGUUGCGGAGGCCAAAAGUCUGAAAACAAGGUGUCUGCAGGACCAACCUCUCUUCUGGAUGCUCUAGGUGAGAAUCUUUUCCAUGCCUUUCUCUUAGCUUCUGAUGUUGCCAUCAGAACUUCAGAUGGUGUUCCUUGGCAUCUAUUAAUAUUAAUACAUCAAUCCUUUUCAGUCUCAGCUUCUGUCUUCACAUGGCCCACUCCACGUCCUAUCUGUUUCUCUUCCCUCUUCUUGUAAAGAUAAGCCAUGUUAUUGUAAGC